GUUAUUUCCAAGGUCCUUAUUGGCUGACGAAUGCAGCUCAGCCUUGUUCUUUUCUAUUCUCUUAAAGUAUUCUUUGAGGAGAGUUUUCACAUGAGGAAAGUGCUUCAGAGAGGAAAAUAUGUCAGGUUCCCACGAGCAUGUCACUAACCAUUUCCUGGGCCUUAUCACCGGGAGGAAAAAAAGGAGCGCCUUUGAAAAGUGGAAACAAAACAUCAGGCCCCAUUGUUGUGUGACUUCCCCGGCCACAAUCUGGGCUCUCCAUCGCUCUACACGCGGAGACUACAAACACGCCCUAAUACAGAUACUCCAAUCCGCAAUUUGACCAGGACAUUUAUUGUUCUGUAUCUGCAAUCUCUGCUGCGUGUUUGUGGCUUUUAAAUCAUCUGUGUUUUUUUUUUUUUUUUUUUUUUUAUUACUCUUUCCAGGCUCAGAGCAAGUCAAAAGCCUCUGAUGGCGGUCAACACCGAGAGAAGCGACUGAGUCAGUUUGCAAACUCCUGUGUGCCUUCUUGUGGGGAGUUCACGGCGGAGGAGGCAGCCUUGCUCACCUUUUUCUGUCUUUUCAACUUCACUCUGUCCUCUUGUUCCCCUUCCCCAGCUUUAGACCCUCUUUUCCUCCUCUCGUUUCACCUUCUCUCUUUCUUCAGUUCUGCCUUGGUCUGUCCCUCUUUGAUUCAUUUGUCAACUCUUGCUCCUACUUAAAGGAUUGGC
RNAcentral lists this long non-coding RNA (710 nucleotides) under Bos indicus x Bos taurus (hybrid cattle). Its description in RNAcentral is "lncRNA (ENSBIXG00000009199.1)". The record is from RNAcentral. Lineage: Eukaryota; Metazoa; Chordata; Mammalia; Artiodactyla; Bovidae.